This 200-nucleotide long non-coding RNA is filed under the name Musa acuminata (dwarf banana). Its description in RNAcentral is "long non-coding RNA (MACU_LNC003417)". Lineage: Eukaryota; Viridiplantae; Streptophyta; Magnoliopsida; Zingiberales; Musaceae. The record is from RNAcentral.
AAGUGACAUUGCACGGGAAACGUGGGGGCGACAUAACAACGAUUUGCACACAACAAAUGGAGAAGGUUUUGCAUAAAGAAUGCAGCGGAUUUUUGGUACAACUUGAGCAACAAACUAAAGGAGAGCCAACAGAAUUUGAAGAUCCAAAUCUACUUCCUUUGCUUGUUGAAUUUUCAAAUAUAUUUGACGAACCGCGCAAC